GUGAACGCCGGCGGUAGGCCUAACACAUGCAAGUCGAACGGCAGCACAGUAAGAGCUUGCUCUUACGGGUGGCGAGUGGCGGACGGGUGAGGAAUACAUCGGAAUCUACUUUUUCGUGGGGGAUAACGUAGGGAAACUUACGCUAAUACCGCAUACGACCUACGGGUGAAAGCAGGGGAUCUUCGGACCUUGCGCGAUUGAAUGAGCCGAUGUCGGAUUAGCUAGUUGGCGGGGUAAAGGCCCACCAAGGCGACGAUCCGUAGCUGGUCUGAGAGGAUGAUCAGCCACACUGGAACUGAGACACGGUCCAGACUCCUACGGGAGGCAGCAGUGGGGAAUAUUGGACAAUGGGCGCAAGCCUGAUCCAGCCAUACCGCGUGGGUGAAGAAGGCCUUCGGGUUGUAAAGCCCUUCUGUUGGGAAAGAAAAGCAGCAGGUUAAUACCCCGCUGUUCUGACGGUACCCAAAGAAUAAGCACCGGCUAACUUCGUG
This 491-nucleotide ribosomal RNA is filed under the name uncultured bacterium. Its description in RNAcentral is "partial 16S ribosomal RNA". It matches the Rfam family "Bacterial small subunit ribosomal RNA", at positions 29 to 507 of the family's 1533-position model. The record is from RNAcentral.